This is a long non-coding RNA of Engraulis encrasicolus (European anchovy), 912 nucleotides long. RefSeq lists it as uncharacterized. The transcript is spliced from 4 exons. The record is from RefSeq and is a predicted model, not a curated record. NCBI's taxonomy places the organism in Eukaryota, Metazoa, Chordata, Actinopteri, Clupeiformes, Engraulidae.
GUUUUUUGAUGCUGUCGAGUGUAGCGUGGGCACACCGCUCUCUCUGUCCCUCUGUUUGUGGUUGAGCCACCGUACAGGAAAGCCCUGUCCAUCGGCGGCUGGCGUGGGGUCGGCUGCUGUUCUGGGAUGGUGUGCUGAGCUGGGCAAACUCAAGUGUCGCUGGUGAUGUUCUUCCACUUUGUGUCCUGUGUGGUUGACUGCUUGCAUGCCGCUUCGAGAGAACCAGAGGAGGAGAUGGUGCCUUCGACUACACUGAUGCAGUGUCACUAGAGAAGGGGGGCAUCACUGUUCUUUUCCCAACCUUUUGUUUUGUUUUGUCCUAUUGUGUGAGUGAUUCAUCCUGUGCAACCUUUUCACUUUGACGUCCGAGACGAAGGGGCUUGUGUAAGUUUCACUCUAACAUACGAGACGAAGGGGCUCGUGUAAGUUUCUACUUAGUAACCGCCAAGACGGAGCUUGUGUAUAUGAUUAGGGUAUGAACACUGAAGUAUUACUGGGAGACGUAUCUUAAAUCUCAGACUCCUUUUGGAACCUAUACUUGCUGUAGGGGGAGACCAAAGACGUGUGUCUAACAGGCUUGUGUGUGUGUGUGGUGGCCAUUACCAAUCUUGCCCUUUUGGCAGUUUGUUUUCUUUUUUUACAAUUUGAUUUACUAACUUGUUUGCCGUGCAAUUUUUGUUAUUUGGUCUACCUCUCGUGCAACUAGCACAUUUGCACAAUUUUGUAUAUUGAGAUGACGUGCCUAAGGAUACUGUAAAAGCUUCAUAUUCUAUUUGUUAUAAUUGACUGAGCCCGUGAGGCAUAUUUUCAGAUACAGAGACUCAUUACGAAAAGAAAGAAAAUAAAAAGAACUCUGAAUUGUAUGACAGUUGUAUCUCUUGUUAUUCACUAACCUGUUGCGGGGAAAGUCAA